This 253-nucleotide ribosomal RNA is filed under the name uncultured microorganism. RNAcentral's name for it is "partial 16S ribosomal RNA". It matches the Rfam family "Bacterial small subunit ribosomal RNA", at positions 524 to 776 of the family's 1533-position model. The record is from RNAcentral.
UACGUAGGGUGCGAGCGUUAUUCGGAAUUACUGGGCGUAAAGGGGGCGUAGGCGGCCGUGAAAGUCCGGUGUGAAAACUCACGGCUCAACCGUGGGACUGCGCUGGAAACUACACGGCUUGAGGACGGUAGAGGGAGACGGAACUGCUGGUGUAGGGGUGAAAUCCGUAGAUAUCAGCAGGAACGCCGGUGGAGAAGUCGGUCUGCUGGGCCGUAACCGACGCUGAGGCACGAAAGCGUGGGUAGCAAACAGG